UGAUAAGAGAUCUUCCGGUGUUCAUAAGGGGUCCUGCCAUCCACCCUCAGCUCCUCCCUAAGAGCCUGAACAUAUGCUUGUUGGUUAAUGCCGGCAUGAAACACAUAAGCGCAAAUAUCAUACCUAUAAUUUUAUAGGUUACAAAGACACUGCACAGUAUAUAGGUACCUUCAGGACAAAUUCACGUUCAUUUGUGGAGAUGAGGUCUGUGUCUCUUUGCAUCAGAUCGUCUGUUUUUAGCACCCGCGAAAAAGCAUGAACUGGAUCAAAACCAACAGAUAUACUCCAGUUUUUCUGACGUUUUGCUUUAUUCGAAGCACCGAUCUUGUUCUUGAGAGCAGC
Molecule: long non-coding RNA, 342 nt
Filed under: Coccomyxa subellipsoidea
Lineage: Eukaryota; Viridiplantae; Chlorophyta; Trebouxiophyceae; Coccomyxaceae
Description: long non-coding RNA (CSUB_LNC000502)
Source: RNAcentral